GAUGAACGCUGGCGGCGUGCCUAAUACAUGCAAGUCGAGCGAACAGACGAGGAGCUUGCUCCUCUGACGUUAGCGGCGGACGGGUGAGUAACACGUGGAUAACCUACCUAUAAGACUGGGAUAACUUCGGGAAACCGGAGCUAAUACCGGAUAAUAUAUUGAACCGCAUGGUUCAAUAGUGAAAGACGGUUUUGCUGUCACUUAUAGAUGGAUCCGCGCCGCAUUAGCUAGUUGGUAAGGUAACGGCUUACCAAGGCAACGAUGCGUAGCCGACCUGGGAGGGUGGUCGGCCGCACUGGAACUGAGACACGGUCCAGACUCCUACGGGAGGCAGCAGUAGGGAAUCUUCCGCAAUGGGCGAAAGCUUGACGGAGCAACGCCGCGUGAGUGAUGAAGGUCUUCGGAUCGUAAAACUCUGUUAUUAGGGAAGAACAAAUGUGUAAGUAACUAUGCACGUCUUGACGGUACCUAAUCAGAAAGCCACGGCUAACUACGUG
RNAcentral lists this ribosomal RNA (497 nucleotides) under uncultured bacterium. RNAcentral describes it as "partial 16S ribosomal RNA". It matches the Rfam family "Bacterial small subunit ribosomal RNA", at positions 28 to 507 of the family's 1533-position model. The record is from RNAcentral.